GCAGCUCUGCUCUUUGUCUUUAUUUUUAGGAAGUCAAGGCAGAGAGCAGCUGUCAAGGCUGAGUGGGCAAGAUGGACUGCUUGCCAUCUAUCCUAGCCCAGCAUGCCCAUGCCAGGUGCUGUUGCUGCCCUAGGCAUGCCGGGGAAGAGAGGAGGGCAGGUAUCUUCCGGGCGGCCUCUGGAGUCAAAUCAAGACUUGAGGUACCCUGGGCAGGCUUGUAGCCACAGCUUGGAAGCGGCAGCACCGAAGCGCACACAUUGAGAACGUCUCAACGUCCACGUCCGACCGAGGAUGGAUUUUGUCUGCUUGUCUUCCAAAAGCUAAGUGUCGGGGCCAGUGGUUGGGAGAAGGGGAAAAGCCUUUACUAUCACAGGAGGCAAUCUGAUGUCAGCUUAGCGGAGAGGUCUGUAGUGGGACAGGCUCCCUGGAAGUAAAGGGAGAGGGUUUCUCCUCAGCCUCACCAGAGCC
Molecule: long non-coding RNA, 468 nt
Organism: Melospiza melodia melodia
Lineage: Eukaryota; Metazoa; Chordata; Aves; Passeriformes; Passerellidae
Exons: 5
Source: RefSeq, a predicted model, not a curated record